Molecule: ribosomal RNA, 497 nt
Filed under: uncultured bacterium
Lineage: Bacteria
Description: partial 16S ribosomal RNA
Rfam family: Bacterial small subunit ribosomal RNA
Source: RNAcentral
GAUGAACGCUGGCGGCGUGCCUAAUACAUGCAAGUCGAGCGAACAGAUGAGGAGCUUGCUCCUCUGACGUUAGCGGCGGACGGGUGAGUAACACGUGGAUAACCUACCUAUAAGACUGGGAUAACUUCGGGAAACCGGAGCUAAUACCGGAUAAUAUAUUGAACCGCAUGGUUCAAUAGUGGAAGACGGUUUUGCUGUCACUUAUAGAUGGAUCCGCGCCGCAUUAGCUAGUUGGUAAGGUAGCGGCUUACCAAGGCAACGAUGCGUAGCCGACCUGAGAGGGUGAUCGGCCACACUGGAACUGAGACACGGUCCAGACUCCUACGGGAGGCAGCAGUAGGGAAUCUUCCGCAAUGGGCGAAAGCCUGACGGAGCAACGCCGCGUGAGUGAUGAAGGUCUUCGGAUCGUAAAACUCUGUUAUUAGGGAAGAACAAAUGUGUAAGUAACUAUGCACGUCUUGACGGUACCUAAUCAGAAAGCCACGGCUAACUACGUG